CACUCUGGAAAUCAAAUCACUCUUCUGGAAAUCAAAUCAGAGAUCUAGCCUAAUGGUUGAAACGGAAGAAAGAUCGGGAUCCAGCUACUGCUCUCAAUCGCACUCCAAAUCUCAUUCUCUUUCGCACUCUCGCUCUCAAUCUCAUUGGCGGUCUCGAUCGUGCUCUUCCGCUCCUUGAAUCUCUCUCUCGUUUCAACAAAUUCUAGGGUUGGGUUUGUUAUUCUCUAUUUUGAGGGUUCAACGCUGUCUGAAUUGUCUGGGAAAAGGCUAUGACUGAUUCCAACGAGCCAAAGGAAAGGUCUAUGCUCGCCUCUCUCUUGCCGGUGCUCGCCUCUCACUCUCGACGGUUUGUACUGGCCUCUAGCCGGCUCAUCUGCUCGUCUCUGUGUGUGCUCCUCUGCUCGCCUCCAUCUGUCGCUUUGAAUUUCUAUUUGAAUAGAUGUGUUCGAGCGGCUCAUAGCGCUGAGAGGCAAUGCCAUGCCCUUAUAGUAUUCAUGGUCUUGUAAAAGGAACUAUAAGAACGGUUAUGUGUGGUGUGACUUGGCACUUAAUGACAUAAUACACCCCGAUGAAGGAGCAGAAUAUAUACUCAAAAGGAUCUGAAUUUGUUCAAGCUUCUUCUGAUCCUGGUGUCUUGUGCUAAGACACCAGAAUAGGCAUUGGUAUACAUAUUUGGUGAAGCUAGAAGAACCACACCAUCAAUUCUCUAUUUACCAUAAUUUGAUGUUUGGUGGAAACUGCUCAUGAACAACUCAGAGCUGUUCUCCUGACUUUGCUAGACAAAUUGUCAUCUGACAUGCCUAUCCUUCUACUGGGAACAUCCUCAGUUGUGCUAGCUGAAGUUGAAGAUGUACCACAUUCAGUUUUUCCUCAUCGUUCAGUGUAUCUUUGAUCUAAUUCACAACAAAACACUGAUUUUUUAUAUGGAAUGUUCAUAGAGUUUAAGUGCUAUAAGUAUUUUUUUUCUUUUCUCAUUUUAUUUGCAUCACGAAGCAAACUUGUACAAUGAUUAUUGAUUAAUGAAAGAUGUUAUAAAAAUUUUAUUUUGUGAA
Arachis ipaensis is the source of this 1052-nucleotide non-coding RNA. NCBI's taxonomy places the organism in Eukaryota, Viridiplantae, Streptophyta, Magnoliopsida, Fabales, Fabaceae. The record is from RefSeq and is a predicted model, not a curated record.